CAAGCUCGACAGAGUACGAGGUGGAUGCCUUGGUGCUAAAGGCCGAUGAAGGACGCGGAGACCGGCGAAACGUUCAGGGGGAGCUGCACACAAGCGAAGAGCCCUGAGUAUCCGAAUGGGGCAACCCAUCCAGAGUGAUGUCUGGAUACCCCCUGCUGAACACAUAGGCAGGGCGGAGGGCAGCAGGCGAACUGAAACAUCUCAGUAGCUUGACGAAAAGAAAUCAACCGAGAUUCCCGUAGUAGUGGCGAGCGAACCGGGAGGAGCCCAAACCAGUGACACUUCGGUGCCACCGGGGUUGUAGGACCGGCGUAAGGUGAACCAAGCUGACUCGAAGGAACUGGAACGUUCCACCAGAGCGGGUGAGAGUCCCGUAGAGGCAGGGGAGGAACACUGGCUGGGAUCCUGAGUACCACGAGACACGUGCAAUCUUGUGGGAAGCUGGGGGACCACCCUCCAAGGCUCAAUACCUUUAGCAACCGAUAGCGAACAAGUACCGUGAGGGAAAGGUGAAAAGCACCCCGAGAGGGGGAUGAAAGAGACCCUGAAACCACGUACUCACCAGCAGCCAGAGGCCACUGUUCCCGUGGGGAACCAAGGGCUGAUGGCGUGCCUUUUGUAGAAUGAUCCGGCGAGUGCAUCGUCGUCGCAGGUUAACCUCCGCUAAAGGAGGGGAGCCAGAGGGCAACCGAGUCUGAAGCAGGCGUAGGUGUGGCGGCGAUGCGACCCGAAACCGUGUGAGCUACCCAUGAGCAGAGUGAAGCGAAGGUGAAACUUCGUCGAGGCUCGCACCCACCAGUGUUGCAAAACUGGGGGAUGACUUGUGGGUAGGGGUGAAAUGCCAAACGAACACGGAGAUAGCUGGUUCUCCCCGAAAUGUAUUGAGGUACAGCCACGUGGGAGUCCCGCAAGGGACCAUAACUAUCCUGGAGGUAGAGCACUGGAUGGGCUAGGGGCCAAGUGCUGGUUACCAACCCCACUCAAACUGCGAAUGCCAGGACAGGAAGCCACGUGAGUGAGACGGCGGGGGCUAAGCUUCGUCGUCAAAAGGGAAACAGCCCAGAUCACCAGCUAAGGUCUCAAACUUACUGCUCAGUGUUAAAGGGGGUCAUCCCGCCCAAACAGCCAGGAUGUUGGCUUAGAAGCAGCCAUCAUUGAAAGAGUGCGUAAUAGCUCACUGGUCGAGUGGAGUGGCACCGACAACGUAUCGAGGCUCAAGCAGUAGACCGAAGCUGUGAAUAGUUCUGUAGAGAACUAUGGUAGGGGAGCGUUGUGUGGCCCAGAGAAGCCAGAUCGCAAGGACUGGUGGAGGACACACAAGUGAGAAUGCCGGAAUGAGUAGCGUCAUCGCUGUGACAACCAGCGACACCGAACGCCUGAGGGUUCCUGGGCACCGUCAAUCGUCCCAGGGUGAGUCGGGCCCUAAGCCGAGGACAUCACGUCGUAGGCGAUGGAAAGCAGGUGGAGAUUCCUGCACCGGAGUUGCUCGCUACGAGCAAUGGGGGGACGCAGUAGGGAAGGUGAACCUCUCGAAUGGACAGGAGAGGCGUCCAGCACGAAGUGCGAAGCUGAGGCAAAUCCCAGCUUCACCAGCAUGACGACUGGACCGAGCGCUCGCAAGAGCGCGGAAGUCAUCGGCCCCCAGGCUGCCAAGAAAAGCCUCUCGCCAGAGCCAACUCCGCCCGUACCGCAAACCGACACAGGUAGGCAGGGGGAAAUCCCCCAAGGUGAACGAGCGACCCUCUGUUAAGGAACUCGGCAAAUUGACCCCGUACCUUUGGAAGAAGGGGUGCCUUGGUAACUUCCCUUCGGGGGGUGAAGAGGUUGCAAGAAAUUGGCCCAACCGACUGUUUACCAAAAACACAGGUCUCUGCGAACGCGAAAGCGGAAGUAUAGGGGCUGACUCCUGCCCAGUGCCGGAAGGUUACGAGGAGCGGUGAGCGUAGCCGCGAAUCUAAGCCCCGGUGAACGGCGGCCGUAACUAUAACGGUCCUAAGGUAGCGAAAUUCCUUGUCGGGUAAGUUCCGACCCGCACGAAAGGAGUAACGAGUUGGGCACUGUCUCAACAGAGGACUCGGCGAAAUUGAAGUACCCGUGAAGAUACGGGUUACCCACGACAGGACAAAAAGACCCCGUGGAGCUUUACUACAGUUUGGCCUGGAUACGGUGCGGUAGGUGCGUAGGAUAGGUGGGAGCCGGAGAACUCAUCCUUGUGGGGGUGAGGGAGGCACAAGUGAAAUACCACUCUCCUGGUGUGUUGUAUCUCAUGCCUGGCCAUGAGCUGGCAGGCAGACAGGGCCAGAUGGGUAGUUUGACUGGGGCGGUCGCCUCCCAAAGAGUAACGGAGGCGCCCAAAGGUUCCCUCAGGGUGGAUGGACAUCACCCGUAAGAGUGUAAAGGCAGAAGGGAGCUUGACUGCGAGGCAGACGCGCCGAGCAGGGACGAAAGUCGGGCUUAGUGAUCCCACAUUCCCGAGUGGAAGGAAUGUGGCUCAACGGAUAAAAGCUACCCCGGGGAUAACAGGCUUAUCUUGCCCAAGAGUUCACAUCGACGGCAAGGUUUGGCACCUCGAUGUCGGCUCGUCGCAUCCUGGGGCUGGAGUAGGUCCCAAGGGUUGGGCUGUUCGCCCAUGAAAGCGGCACGCGAGCUGGGUUCAGAACGUCGCGAGACAGUUCGGUCUCUAUCCGUCGUGGGCGUAGGAGAAUUGAGGGGAGUCAUCUUCAGUACGAGAGGACCGAGAUGGCUUGACCGCUGGUGCGCCAGUUGGCCUGCCCGGGCCAGAGCUGGGUAGCUACGUCAAGAAGGGAUAAGCGCUGAAAGCAUCUAAGCGCGAAGCCGACCGCAAGACAAGUUCUCCCACUCUCUUUCGAGAGAGUUAAGAUCCCAGGAAGACGACCUGGUAGAUAGACUGUGGGUGCACGCCUGGUAACAGGCGCAGCUGAACAGCCCUAAUGAUCGUACGGCUUGUGUAGUCUCCCUU
Molecule: ribosomal RNA, 2980 nt
Filed under: Ktedonosporobacter rubrisoli
Lineage: Bacteria; Bacillati; Chloroflexota; Ktedonobacteria; Ktedonobacterales; Ktedonosporobacteraceae
Description: 23S ribosomal RNA
Rfam family: Bacterial large subunit ribosomal RNA
Source: RNAcentral